Arabidopsis thaliana (thale cress) is the source of this 329-nucleotide long non-coding RNA. RefSeq annotates it as other RNA. The transcript has a single exon. Lineage: Eukaryota; Viridiplantae; Streptophyta; Magnoliopsida; Brassicales; Brassicaceae. The record is from RefSeq.
UCUUCUGACCAAAUCUGCGUCUCUACAGAGUUACCACAAUAACUACUACUGUUUUCACAUUAAUAGCGGCCAAACACAGCAUGGCUGCAAUAGAAGCACCAAUCUUGAACACAAACAGAUUCUACUCAUCCAUAGCCACUGCAAUACUACUUCUACUUUGUUUUAAGAAGCAAGCUCAGAAAUUUAAACUAGACCUGAAUCAACUAAGUAGCUUCGGUAAGGUAAGUUUCCAUCAGAUAGACCAGUAACAGAACAAAGCUUUAAGAGCACACUUCUAGUUUGCUUAUGGUAAAUCGAGAAUAAACCUGGUGGCUCCGAGGCCAAUGUUG